Molecule: ribosomal RNA, 427 nt
Filed under: uncultured cyanobacterium
Lineage: Bacteria; Bacillati; Cyanobacteriota
Description: bacterial SSU rRNA
Rfam family: Bacterial small subunit ribosomal RNA
Source: RNAcentral
GGGGAAUUUUCCGCAAUGGGCGAANGCCUGACGGAGCAAUACCGCGUGAGGGAUGACGGCCUAUGGGUUGUAAACCUCUUUUUUCAGGGGAGGAAUCAAAUGACGUGUACCUGAAGAAUAAGCAUCGGCUAACUCCGUGCCAGCAGCCGCGGUAAGACGGAGGAUGCAAGUGUUAUCCGGAAUCACUGGGCGUAAAGCGUCUGUAGGUGGUCCAAUAAGUCAACUGUUAAAUCUUGAGGCUCAACCUCAAAACCGCGGUCGAAACUAUUAGACUAGAGUAUAGUAGGGGUAGAGGGAAUUUCCAGUGGAGCGGUGAAAUGCGUAGAGAUUGGAAAGAACACCGAUGGCGAAGGCACUUUACUGGGCUAUUACUAACACUGAGAGACGAAAGCUAGGGUAGCAAAUGGGAUUAGAUACCCCAGUAGUC